AUGAAAUUACUUAAGAGGGCUUAAGUUUUUAAUUAGAUUCAGGUCUGAUUAAGUUAUUGGGUCAAGGGUUUGACUUGGAGCGGGCUCAAGAGAAAAGAAAAGAAACCCAAACCCAUGAUGAGGGGGAGCCCGCGGUUGUAUUAGGGUUCUGAAGGGGGGAAAAAUUUCUUUUCCUUUCAGUUCUGAAACAGAAACCCUUGCACUCCUUACGUAAAGAAAACAGAAGAGAAAAGAGUGAGAGAACCACCCCUUGAACCCUUAGCCGCCGCCGACCAAACCACCACCGCAACCCGUGACGCCGCGCGAGUGAGAGAGCCUUGCGAGAGGGAGAGGAUUCGCGUGGAGGAGGAGAAGAGGGACGUGGACAGCAAGCAACUGAGUUCUGAACCUACAUCUUUUCUCUUUUUCAGACCAAGAACCCAAGAUGGUCGUGAAGAUAAUGACGAGGACUCAUUCUUGGGAGUUGAUGCUACGUGGCGAGCCACUACCGGAUGACGACUACACUUCUGAUGAAGAGGAAGAAGAUAAAGAGGAAGGGGCCAAGGAUAUGGUUGGGUUGUGAGACAUCCAUUUUUCUUUUGGGUUGAGAGUACCGAGUUUUGGAAGUAUUGAACCAUUACUUUAUUUUAGUUGAGAUAGUUUAACUUGAUGUAAUUUACUUUGAAGUUUUCUUCCGGAUAAUUAUUUCAUACUCUUUUCAAUGAUUAAUAAAGUUUGAGGUUUACGUUGAUGAUUA
Molecule: long non-coding RNA, 736 nt
Organism: Lotus japonicus
Lineage: Eukaryota; Viridiplantae; Streptophyta; Magnoliopsida; Fabales; Fabaceae
Exons: 2
Source: RefSeq, a predicted model, not a curated record